AAGAAAUUUAAAGUGAAAUAAGGGCGUAUGGUGGAUGCCUAGGGUCUGAGAGGCGAUGAAGGACGUGGUAAGCUGCGAAAAGCUUGGGAGAGCUGCACACGAGCAUUAUAUCCCAAGAUCUCCGAAUGGGACAACCCGCUAUAUUGAAGAUAUAGCACUCGCAAGAGAGCCAACCUCCUGAACUGAAACAUCUAAGUAAGGAGAGGAAAAGAAAAUAAUUAAAUGAUUUCCCAAGUAGUGGCGAGCGAACAGGAAAUAGCCCAAACCGAUACCGCGUGCGGUAUCGGGGUUGUAGGACUGCAUUUAGAAAUAGUUAUCAAGUAGAAUUACCUGGAAAGGUAAGCCGCAGAGCGUGAAAGCCGUGUAAACAGAAAUUAACUAGGACGAGCAGUAUCCUGAGUAGCGCGGGACCGGAGGAAUCCUGUGUGAAUCUGCCAGCACCAUCUGGUAAGGCUAAAUACUCCUCAGACACCGAUAGUGAACCAGUACCGUAAGGGAAAGGUGAAAAGAACCGUGAACAACGGAGUGAAAUAGUACCUGAAACCGUACGCCUACAAGCGGUCGGAGCUUCGCAAGAAGUGACGGCGUGCCUUUUGCAUAAUGAACCUACGAGUUACUAUUUACUGGCGAGGUUAAGUUUUUAAAAAAUGGAGCCGUAGCGAAAGCGAGUCCGAAUAGGGCGCAUAGUCAGUAGGUGUAGACGCGAAACUUUGUGAUCUAUCCAUGUGCAGGUUGAAGGUUUGGUAACACAAACUGGAGGACCGAACCCGUUGACGUUGAAAAGUCUUGGGAUGACGUGUGGAUAGGGGUGAAAGGCCAAUCAAACUGAGAGAUAGCUCGUUCUCCCCGAAAUGUUUUUAGGAACAGCGUUGCAUUAAGAAUUUUGUUAGAGGUAGAGCUACUGAUUGGACUAGGGGGCUUCACCGCCUGCCAAAUCCUGACAAACUCCGAAUGCUAACAAAUAUCUGCAGCAGUGAGGCUUUGUGCGCUAAGGUGCAGGGCCGAGAGGGAAAUAACCCAGAACAGCAGCUAAGGUCCCCAAUACAUGGUUAAGUUAAACAAACGAGGUGGAAUUUCUAGGACAGCCAGGAUGUUUGCUCGGAAGCAGCCAUUCAUUUAAAGAGUGCGUAACAGCUCACUGGUCGAGAGAUUCUGCACGGAAAAUGAUCGGGUAUCAAACCAUGAACCGAAGCUCUGUAAUAGUACACUUAAGUGUAUCAUUGGUAGGGGAGCAUUGAAAUUGCACCGAAGCCGUAUGGCGACGUAUGGUGGAGCGAUUUCAAAAGAAAAUGUAGGUAUAAGUAACGAUAAUUAAAGUGAAAAACUUUAACGCCGAAAAUCCAAGGGUUCCUGAUCAACGUUAAUCGGAUCAGGGUUAGUCCAGUCCUUAGGUGUACCCGAAAGGGGAAGCUGAUGGCAAUCAGGUUAAUAUUCCUGAACCUGCUAUACAUUAAAAGUGACGGAUCUUCAAGCUUUCUACGUACUUACGGAAUAGUGCGUUGAACGGAGUCUACGGACAAAGUGAAGAAGGGGAGAAGGUUCCAAGAAAAGCGAGUAUAGCGGCUGGUACCGUAAACCGACACAGGUGGAUGGGAAGAGUAUUCUAAGGCGCUCGGGUGAGCCGUGGAGAAGGAACUAGGCAAAUUAACGCUGUAACUUCGGGAUAAAGCGUACCACAGCAAUGUGGUUUCAAUAAAAUGGUGCGACCAACUGUUUAACAAAAACACAGGGCCCUGCGAAAUCGAAAGAUGAAGUAUAGAGCCUGAUGCCUGCCCGGUGCUGGAAGGUUAAGGAAGGAUGUUCGGAGUAAUCCAAAGCUUCUGACUGAAGCCCCAGUAAACGGCGGCCGUAACUAUAACGGUCCUAAGGUAGCGAAAUUCCUUGUCGGGUAAGUUCCGACCUGCACGAAUGGUCUAAUGAGUUGCACACUGUCUCCUCCACGAGCCCGGUGAAAUUGUAGUAUCGGUGAAGAUGCCGGUUACCCGCCACGGGACGGAAAGACCCCGUGAACCUUCACUACAGCUUUACAUUGAUCUUGAACAACCGAUGUGUAGGAUAGUUGGGAGACUAUGAGCCGGCUUCGCCAGGAGUCGGGGAGUCACUGUUGAAAUACCAACCUUCUGUUGUUUAGGACCUAACCCAAUGCGAUUGGGGACAUUGUAUGGCGGGUAGUUUGACUGGGGUGGUCGCCUCCUAAAAAGUAACGGAGGCUUGCAAAGGUACCCUCAGUACGGUUGGUAAUCGUACGCAGAGCAUAUUGGUAUAAGGGUGCUUGACUGUGAGACAGACACGUCGAACAGGGACGAAAGUCGGCUAAAGUGAUCCGGUGGUUCUGUAUGGAAGGGCCAUCGCUCAAAGGAUAAAAGGUACUCCGGGGAUAACAGGCUGAUCUUACCCAAGAGCUCAUAUCGACGGUAAGGUUUGGCACCUCGAUGUCGGUUCGUCACAUCCUGGGGCUGGAGAAGGUCCCAAGGGUUCGGCUGUUCGCCGAUUAAAGUGGCACGCGAACUGGGUUCAGAACGUCGCAAGACAGUUCGGUCCCUAUCUGUGGUGGGCGCAAGUAAAUUGAGGGAACAUGCUCUUAGUACGAGAGGACCGGAGCGUAUGUACCGCUGGUGUACCAGUUGUGAUGCCAAUUGCAUUGCUGGGUAGCUAUGUACAGACAGGAUAAACGCUGAAAGCAUCUAAGCGUGAAACCUAUCUCAAGAUGAGUUUACUGUUAAGGGUCGUAGGAGACGACUACGUUGAUAGGCUGCAGGUGUACAGGUGGUAACAUCUUAGCUGAGCAGUACUAAUAGCCCGUAAGCUUUAUAAA
RNAcentral lists this ribosomal RNA (2815 nucleotides) under Rhizosphaericola mali. Its description in RNAcentral is "Arachidicoccus sp. B3-10 23S ribosomal RNA". It matches the Rfam family "Bacterial large subunit ribosomal RNA". The record is from RNAcentral. Lineage: Bacteria; Pseudomonadati; Bacteroidota; Chitinophagia; Chitinophagales; Chitinophagaceae.